GACGAACGCUGGCGGCGUGCUUAACACAUGCAAGUCGAACGCUGAAGACCUGGCUUUGUUGGGUUGGAUGAGGGGCGAACGGGUGAGUAACACGUGAGUAACCUGCCCUCUUCUUUGGGAUAACGCCCGGAAACGGGGGCUAAUACUGGAUAUUCACUGAUCUUCGCAUGGGGGGUGGUGGAAAGGGUUGUUCUGGUGGGGGAUGGGCUCGCGGCCUAUCAGCUUGUUGGUGGGGUGAUGGCCUACCAAGGCUUUGACGGGUAGCCGGCCUGAGAGGGUGACCGGUCACAUUGGGACUGAGAUACGGCCCAGACUCCUACGGGAGGCAGCAGUGGGGAAUAUUGCACAAUGGGCGAAAGCCUGAUGCAGCGACGCCGCGUGAGGGAUGGAGGCCUUCGGGUUGUAAACCUCUUUCGCUCAUGGUCAAGCCGCAACUGUGGGUUGUGGUGAGGGUAGUGGGUAAAGAAGCGCCGGCUAACUACGUG
RNAcentral lists this ribosomal RNA (485 nucleotides) under uncultured bacterium. RNAcentral's name for it is "partial 16S ribosomal RNA". It matches the Rfam family "Bacterial small subunit ribosomal RNA", at positions 28 to 507 of the family's 1533-position model. The record is from RNAcentral.